UGGGGAAUAUUGCACAAUGGAGGGAACUCUGAUGCAGCGACGCCGCGUGAGUGAUGAAGGAUUUCGUUUCGUACAACUCUGUUCUAUGGGAAGAAAAGGACUGUACCAUAGGAGAAAGCUCCGGCUAAAUACGUGCCAGCAGCCGCGGUAAUACGUAUGGAGCGAGCGUUGUCCGGAAUUAUUGGGCGUAAAGGGUGCGCAGGCGGCUUUACAAGUUGGAUGUGAAAUAUUGUGGCUCAACCACAAACGUGCAUCCAAAACUGCAAAGCUUGAGUUAAGGAGAGGUAAGUGGAAUUCCUGGUGUAGCGGUGGAAUGCGUAGAUAUCAGGAGGAAUACCGGUGGCGAAGGCGACUUACUGGACUUAAACUGACGCUCAGGCACGAAAGCGUGGGGAGCAAACAGG
RNAcentral lists this ribosomal RNA (404 nucleotides) under Fusobacteriota bacterium. RNAcentral's name for it is "Fusobacteria bacterium partial 16S ribosomal RNA". It matches the Rfam family "Bacterial small subunit ribosomal RNA", at positions 355 to 776 of the family's 1533-position model. Lineage: Bacteria; Fusobacteriati; Fusobacteriota. The record is from RNAcentral.